AGGGUGCUGCUGGUCCCCCUCGACUCACUCUUACAAGAGGCCACGGCAGAGGCUGCUGGUGGCCUACUCCGUAUCCAUUCACCCGGUCUUCCUUCCAGACAGAACCUUGGGUAAUGUGCUGCAAAACCACAUUUCCCAGACUCUCUUGCAGGUACGGGUGGACCAAUGAAAACUGAUCCCAGUUCCUCCUCCUUCCUGCCCACGUGGCUGGUCCUCCAGCCACCCCGUUGGACCAUGAGGUGACCUUGAGUAAAGUGGCCGCCUGCAAAGGAGAGUGGAAGCGGACAAGAUCCCACGGAAUCAGCAUACCAGCUCAGAUACUCAGUCAUUCCAUAAACAGCCUUCCCUGACUUCCCCAAGCUGGACCAGGACCCCUCCAGAAACCCGCAGGCCCCAGGCUCCUACUUUCUCAGUGUGCCAGUGUCCGUCUCCUCCCCCGGUCCAUCUACCCCUUCAGGACAGAGACGAAGUACCGGACCUUCUACAACCCCAUGUGAAGGCUCUCUGGCCGGAGGACUGCCUGCUCAGGACGUAGCACAAUGCCCGUAGGCUUCGCGUCCAGCGUGGAACCCAAUGUGGGGCUUGAAUUCAUGACCCUGAGAUCAAGACCUGAGCUGAGAUCAAGAGUCAGAUGCUUAACCGACAGAGCCACCCAGGCGCCCCUGAAAUCACAUUUGAGGUACACUAGUGAGGUUCAGUAUGUAAAGGAAACCUGUUAUGAAAUCUUUUAUAAAGCAAGUUCAUUGAA
Felis catus (domestic cat) is the source of this 748-nucleotide long non-coding RNA. RefSeq lists it as uncharacterized. Lineage: Eukaryota; Metazoa; Chordata; Mammalia; Carnivora; Felidae. The transcript has 3 exons. The record is from RefSeq and is a predicted model, not a curated record.